GGAGGGCUAUAUCAGAAUAGGAUCACCCGUCCGGGCUAAAUCCUUUUUACCGUCAAUUCCUUUUCAGAGAUCCAUCGAAUUUUCUUUUCAUUCAACUGGGAUUUAUUUUCAAUUUAUAUCGAGUAUUAUCAAUAUUUCAUCAAAUAUCAUGAAUUGAACAUUCAAAUCAUAUUUUCAUCACAUAACCACAUAUUUCAAGUAUUUAAAAUACAAUUCAAGUUACAUAAACUUACCUCAUUGCUUGUUUGUGUUUAUAAUUUCAUUAAUCCGAUAUCUUUUCUUUUCCACGAUCAAGUCUCAUAUUUGAGUCGUCCAGAUCUUUAUAAAUAAAUUUGAUCAUCAUUUUCAUUCAUUUCAUCUUCGAAUGCAUUUAAUUAAUGCUCUAGGCAAAAUUACCAUUUUGCCCCUAAACUUUUAAUUAAUGAC
Molecule: long non-coding RNA, 426 nt
Filed under: Gossypium barbadense (sea-island cotton)
Lineage: Eukaryota; Viridiplantae; Streptophyta; Magnoliopsida; Malvales; Malvaceae
Description: long non-coding RNA (GBAR_LNC008373)
Source: RNAcentral